RNAcentral lists this non-coding RNA (99 nucleotides) under uncultured Nocardiopsis sp. RNAcentral describes it as "Glycine riboswitch aptamer". It matches the Rfam family "Glycine riboswitch aptamer". Rfam says of the family: This family represents the bacterial glycine riboswitch. The record is from RNAcentral. Lineage: Bacteria; Bacillati; Actinomycetota; Actinomycetes; Streptosporangiales; Nocardiopsidaceae.
CCACUCUGGAAAGCAGGGACGACACGUUCGUCCCUCGCCGAAGGUGCAAACCACGUCGAGGGCGUGGCGAAGCUCUCAGGCACAGAUGACAGAGGGGGA